RNAcentral lists this unclassified non-coding RNA (191 nucleotides) under uncultured fungus. RNAcentral's name for it is "sequence contains ITS1, 5.8S rRNA gene". Lineage: Eukaryota; Fungi. The record is from RNAcentral.
UUAACUUAUUAUAUAUUACUCAGACGACAAUAUUCAGAGUUUGGGGGUCUCUGGCGGGCGCGAGCCAGCUUACGCCGGCAGCCGUGAGGCAGGCCCGCCAAAGCAACAAAGUAUAAUAAACAAAGGGUGGGAGAUCUACCCCGAAGGGCAAGUUCUCUUUAGUGAUCCUUCCGCAGGUUCACCUACGGAAA